RNAcentral lists this transfer-messenger RNA (439 nucleotides) under Holosporales bacterium. It matches the Rfam family "Alphaproteobacteria transfer-messenger RNA". Rfam says of the family: Bacterial tmRNA, also known as 10Sa RNA or SsrA, is named for its dual tRNA and mRNA-like properties. Its role is to liberate the mRNA from a stalled ribosome. The record is from RNAcentral. Lineage: Bacteria; Pseudomonadati; Pseudomonadota; Alphaproteobacteria; Holosporales.
UCGCUUGCAAUGAACCCUCUAAAACUGUUAUAAUAUAAGUGUUACCUCGUGUAACUAUGGUGAUAAACGCUAUAUGUAAUAGAUGUUAUGGACCCGGGGGCGGUACCCGGCACCUCCACCACUUAAGAAGGCAGUCAUUUAAAAAGCAAGCUUUUUGAAUUGACGCCUGACCCAAAUCGGUUUUUUGCUUUUGGGGGUGAAAUAGGAUCGACAUGCGUUGAAAGAUAUGGUUUUUGCUCGGCAUUGUACCACCGUUAUCGGACAAUAUAAAUAUAAAUGCAAAACGUAAAAACGCAUUGAAUCGUGUUCUUUUUGCCGUUAACGCUAAUAGCGCUAACGACAACCGGAAAGCUCCUGUAGUAGAAGUAGUAGCUACAGCAGCAUAAGGUUAGAACACCUUUGCGGUUCGAGGGGCACCGGGCAACAGAAGCCCCUCACU